UAGGGAAUCUUCCGCAAUGGACGAAAGUCUGACGGAGCAACGCCGCGUGAGUGAAGAAGGAUUUCGGUUCGUAAAACUCUGUUGUUAGGGAAGAAAAAAUGUAAAGUAACUAUAUACAAAAGAGACGGUACCUAACCAGAAAGCCACGGCUAACUACGUGCCAGCAGCCGCGGUAAUACGUAGGUGGCAAGCGUUGUCCGGAAUUAUUGGGCGUAAAGCGCGCGCAGGUGGUUUAGAAAGUCUGAUGUGAAAGCCCACGGCUCAACCGUGGAGGGUCAUUGGAAACUAAUAAACUUGAGUGCAGGAGAGAAAAGUGGAAUUCCUAGUGUAGCGGUGAAAUGCGUAGAGAUUAGGAGGAACACCGGUGGCGAAAGCGGCUUUUUGGCCUGCAACUGACACUGAGGCGCGAAAGCGUGGGGAGCAAACAGG
Molecule: ribosomal RNA, 429 nt
Filed under: Verrucomicrobiota bacterium
Lineage: Bacteria; Pseudomonadati; Verrucomicrobiota
Description: Verrucomicrobia bacterium partial 16S ribosomal RNA
Rfam family: Bacterial small subunit ribosomal RNA
Source: RNAcentral